RNAcentral lists this ribosomal RNA (253 nucleotides) under uncultured bacterium. Its description in RNAcentral is "partial 16S ribosomal RNA". It matches the Rfam family "Bacterial small subunit ribosomal RNA", at positions 524 to 776 of the family's 1533-position model. The record is from RNAcentral.
GACGAACCGUGCGAACGUUGUUCGGAUUCACUGGGCUUAAAGGGCGCGUAGGCGGGCUAGCAAGUCAGGGGUGAAAUCCUCCGGCUCAACCGGAGAACUGCCUUUGAUACUGCUAGUCUUGAGGAAGGUAGGGGCAUGUGGAACUUCCGGUGGAGCGGUGAAAUGCGUAGAUAUCGGAAGGAACGCCGGUGGCGAAAGCGACGUGCUGGACCUUUACUGACGCUGAGGCGCGAAAGCCAGGGGAGCAAACGGG